RNA transcript from Falco peregrinus (peregrine falcon), 7124 nucleotides. It is a transcript of the gene named zinc fingers and homeoboxes 2, with no coding region annotated. The transcript is spliced from 4 exons. The record is from RefSeq and is a predicted model, not a curated record. NCBI's taxonomy places the organism in Eukaryota, Metazoa, Chordata, Aves, Falconiformes, Falconidae.
GCGUGGCGGGGCGCGCGUGUCUCCCCGCGGGCCGGCGCGGCGCGGCGGGGGCGGGGGCGGGGGGCGCGGGGUCCCGCGGCCGCGGGCUGCCGCGGCGGAGCCCCGGUGCCGCUCCGCCCGGGACAGUCGGUGCCGCCGCCUUGGGCGCAGGUAUUAAAAGUUCUGCUCUCCGUCAGAGGGGUAUAAGUACUGAGACUCCCAGGAUGUAAGAAAUACAGUGCUGUGUCAUGCAGCUGACAGGUCUACUGGCAGAGCUGAUGGUCACAGCCGGGGCGGAAAUUCUUCAUUAAAACAAAAAACCAGAGUAAAGUAAUUGAGGAAGGUUGGAGCCACUUGUAAGAUUUAUUGAAUUGAUUGCUCACCCUGUCAAAAAAAAAAAAAAAAAAAAAAGGUCAUCGUUUGGGACGACAGCACGCUGCCAGCAGGUGCCAUGGCUAGCAAAAGAAAGUCGACGACUCCCUGUAUGGUGCGAACCUCUGAAGUCGUGGAGCAGGAAGGCACUGAGGGCGUAGAGGCUCCCAAAGAGAAGGGGGCUGGCACACCGCAGCAGGACUCUAAAAAAACCUGGCCUUCAGAAAGCUCAGUCAAGGACUGCGAAGUGGUUGAGGCAAAGCCCCCAGCUGAAAACCAGUCUAAGAAACCGCAGGGUGGUUAUGAGUGUAAAUACUGCCCUUACUCAACGCAAAACUUAAAUGAAUUCACAGAGCAUGUUGACACUCAGCAUCCAAACGUCAUUCUCAACCCUCUGUACGUCUGUGCUGAAUGCAACUUCACAACCAAAAAAUAUGAUUCUUUAUCUGACCACAACGCGAAAUACCACCCAGGAGAGACCAACUUUAAACUGAAAUUAAUUAAACGCAAUAAUCAGACUGUUCUAGAGCAAUCCAUUGAGACCACCACUAACGAUGUCGCUGUCACAAGCAGUGGCAUAGAAAAUGCAGAGUGUGAGGAUUCACUUCACGGGGGAAUUAGUGCCAGUAAAACACCAAUGAUGAAACUGGGGAAGCCUAAAGGGGAAACCAAGAAGGGACCUAAAAAGCCAGAAGAGGGAGUCGCGGAAAACCACGUGGAUGGCACUCUCCCCCGCAUCAUAACUGAAGCCACUGAAGCUAUUGCCUGUAUAAAUGGAGACCUUCUCCAUGACGUGUUAGCCCACGUUAUGCCCUCUGUACAGCUGCCACCAAAUAUUAACCUUGUCCCCAAGGUGCCGGUACCUCUGAACAGUACCAAAUACAACUCUGCACUGGACACUAACGCAACCAUGAUCAACUCCUUUAAUAAAUUCCCUUACCCAACGCAAGCAGAGUUGUCUUGGUUGACAGCAGCAUCAAAACACCCGGAAGAACAAAUCCGAAUCUGGUUUGCUACGCAGCGCUUGAAGCAUGGUAUAAGUUGGUCUCCUGAAGAAGUGGAAGAGGCAAGAAAGAAGAUGUUCAACGGUACUAUCCAGGCGGUUCCCCAAACCAUCACUGUCCUGCCAGCUCCUUUGACAACUGCAAAAAUGCCCCAGCCCAUCAUCCAGACGGCUUUGCCUUGUCAGAUACUGGGCCAGACCGGUCUGGUUUUGACUCCCGUGUCAAAUGGUUCAACUGUUUCCUGUUCACCAAUUACACUUGCUGUUGCCCCCAACCAGGGGCAAAAGAGGACGAUACAGACCUUAUCAAGUGCCCCAGAGGCCAAGCGUCCUCAUGUAGUUCAGGUGCCUGAAAUUCCUGCCAAGCUGACGGCCGUACCCCUGACGCCAGCCAGCGAGCGAAAAAAGACCAAGGAGCAGAUAGCGGAGCUGAAGGCUAGUUUCAUGGCAAGCCAGUUUCCCGACGAUGCAGAGGUCUACCGGCUGAUACAGGCGACGGGUCUCUCCAGGAGCGAGAUCAAGAAGUGGUUCAGUGACCACAGGUACAGAAGUCAAAGGGGCAUUGUGCAUAUUCCUGGCGAUCCUUUAGGGAAAGAUCAAAUAGCACCUUCAGCUGGUCGGCACGGCCGUUCGUUCCACCCAUACACAGAUUUUACUCCCCAGAGGUUCAAAGAGAAAACACAGGAGCAGCUUAGGGCCCUUGAGGAGAGUUUCCUAAGAUGCUCUUUUCCUACCCAAGGAGAAUUGGACAGGCUUCGAGUAGAGACUAAGCUGAGUAGGAGGGAGAUAGAUUCCUGGUUUUCUGAGCGGAGAAAGAUAAGGGACAGCAUGGAGCAAGCUGUCUUGGACUCAAUGGGAUCAUACAGAAAAAUUAAAGAACAAGGAACUCCCAAUGGUGCAAUAAGCCAGGCAGAACUGCUGAGUAGCUCUCAGCUCCCUGGUGCUUUAUCUGGAUCCUCCACCACACUGAAGAAAACCCAGGAGCAGAUUCAUCUCCUGAAAAGCACGUUUGCAAGGACCCAGUGGCCGUCACCCCAGGAGUACGACCAGUUAGCAUCUCAGACUGGGCUCACAAGAACUGAAAUAGUUCGCUGGUUCAAGGAAAACCGGUCUUCACUAAGAAUGGGGUCGCUUAAAUGGAUUGACCAGUACCAGCAGCAGUAUGCUGCUGAUGGACAUAACGACCAAAGCCAGAAAAAGGGCUCAAAACACUUUGAGAGUUCAAAGAACAGUAGUGAGGUGUCUCGGCAGCAUUACCAGGAGCAUAAAAAGCUGAAUGAAGAGAAUGGGGGGAAACUAGUGGUGAGAGCAAAAAGAGACUGUGAACCGCUGAAAGACUCUUUGUUGGGGAAUCAAGCGGAGGGUAUGGACAGGUUGGAGUGCAACAGCCACGACGGCCACGGCAGCGAGGAGAACGAGGAGCCAGCGGAGGUCAGUUGGGUGGAGGUGACAGUGGGUGAGGAUGACGCUGCAUCGGACUGUACAGACAGCUGGAGCCAAACGGCACCCGAAGGCCAGGCAGAGCUGGCGGACUUUGACUCUGAAAGUAUAUCUGGAGACAAUUCCCACGUAUAGACAGGUAAUGCUGAUGGUGCCCUGUUUCUCUGAGCCUGCCUCUGUCUGGGUGUGCUUCCAGCAUCCUGUAGCCCCUCUUCGGUAUAAAUCCCUGGAGCCCAUCCCUGCCGGAUCCUUGUGCCUGCUGGAUGCCUGAACAAAAGGGAGAUCCUUCCUGCUUGUAAAUUAAAGCAACUGCUUGGUAGGGGAGGGGUUAGUGCUGUUUGCCUUGUUUCUUGUCUCCUUGUGGGUCAAGUCCUGGAUAAGGGAGAUAUUUUUUUUUAUUAUUUUUAUUCUUUCUUGGUUUUGUGGCAAUAAGUGACUAAACCUUUAACUUUCUGCCUUUGGGUGACAUAUGUCACCUCCGCAGCACUUGGUGUGAAAAGUACCAGCAGAGCUACACAAAGAAAUAGUGACACUAGUUACUAAUAUGCCCCUUGCUAACACAUCAUUGAUCUCCCAUGAAUAGAUCCUGUGACCGUUUUUGCACCUUGGGUCCUUCCUUUGCAGCAUCCUGCCCUGCUCAGAAUAAAAGGUCACUGGGGGAAGGGCCCAGGACAGAUACUGUUCUUUAUGCAACAGCGAGGGGAAAAAAAAAAAAAAAAAAAAAAAAAGUUGUGGGGAUUAAAGUGGCUCAUGCAAAUGUGCUCUCUUCCUCUUGCAGGUGAGAAGGUCUCCAACCUGGCUUUGUUCUGCCUGCUCACUCUAGAGGCUUAGGAAGUGCCCCAGACUAAGUUGUGUGGGUGUUUUAGCAGCUAUUCUUCACAGGAUCUUGAAUUUAAAAGCAAGCUGCAGGGCUUUUCUUUAAGGGGGUUUUAUGCAAUCUUUCACCACGUGAAAGGAUAUGUUAUUUGGAGACCUGAAGCCUGUUUCUGAUCACAGUUGCACAGGUAUAAAUCUGGAGCAAGCACCGUCAGCAUUUCUUGACUCACAUGGUAAAUUGAGUUCAUUGGAGCCUGUAACAUUUUGUGCUCAGUAUAACUGAGCCUGUCUCUCCCAAAACGGAGUCUCCUUAAGCUAGAACAUCAUGCAUUAACAACCACAGUGAGAAAGCACCUGGUUGAGAAAGAGUAGUCUUCUGGUGUGUAAUAAGUAUAAUGUACUUUAGCUUUUUUUUUUUUUAAAAAAAAAAAGUAUAAACAUUAGAUAAUAAGAAAAUACAAAAGCCAGGGCUGAUGGAAGUCCCUCCACGCUUGUACUGAAGACUUUUACUGUUGCAGCUCCUAUCUGGUGCAGAGGUGCAGUUUUCCUUAGCAAGCCCUGCUGGCUAGCCAGGAGCCUUCCAUUUUUUUCCUGUGCAGUACUUGUCCAGAAGUAUUCUGGACAGUUUCUCAUGAGUUGAAAAGGGAAAUCCUGCAGUGGUUUUAUUUUGAACUAUGAAUUGUGUCAGCUAACUUUGAGAACUGUUUACACACCAUCUGUAUCGCGGAGUAUCUUAACGCUCCAGACUGCAGUGCAAGGCACUGUCCUGCAUUGUGCUUACACAAGUUGGUGAUUAGGGAUGUUGAUGAGCAGGUUGUGUUAAAAGGCAGAGAUUAAAGGGGGAAGGACAUGGGAACAUCAGCUGGAGGCAGGCACGCUGCAGUGCCACUGUUGUACAGCCACAUCAGAAAGGAGAGCCAGGAUCUGAUCUGCCUUUUAAAAUCAAAUGCACAAUGAAUAAAUGCAUUGUGGAAUUUUAAUUUUUUUUUUCCCCAGGGUUGUUAUUCCAGAUCAUUUCCCCUGUCUGGCUAUAAAUGUUCAUAUUGAGGAGAGGGAACAGACCAGGUGCUAGGAGAGGGAAUGGGGAGGAGGGUGGGAGAGGGAGGAUUGCCUGAAAUCACUGUUUCUUACAAACCUUUUGUACCAUGAAACCAAGCUCUGCAACAACCAUCUUCCAGCAGCCUAGGUUUGGCGCCUGCAUUUUUGUGCUUGUGAGCAGUGUUGGGCACAUUGGUGUGCCCCUCCUUCCUCUGUGCGCUGAGAUGCUGACCGUAAAGCCCCAGGGCUGUGGAGGUGCUCAAGUGUUAUCAGAGAGGAAUUUUAGUAAGAACUUUGAUGUCAGUUAAACUUCUGCUGUGUUAUCCUCCUGAUGAGGAGCUUUCCAGUGGCUAGUCGUAAAAUACACCUACUGAGAAGAGAUGAGCUGGAGCAGGGCUUUUGCUGCGAAGACCAUGCAGGAAGAUCAGAGGACCGUUUUGUCCCCUGCUCUUUGCCCAUUUCUCAGCAUGCUGGCCUGGGGACUUGACAAAAGCCCAAAGUCUUUUUCAUUUUCAUCUGUUCUCCCUGUAAGUCUCAGCCCAGAAAUGCAAGUGCCUGCUCUCUGGUGCCGGUGUGAAAGCUGUGUCACAGGUGUGACACAAAAGCUGGAAGCUUUAUACCCCACACUGCCGGGACCUGUGGAGAAGUCCCAGCUACUGGCUCCUCUUUCCUUCAGAAUAAGCUUUCACUCUCAUCCUUGUGAAGCCUAUCUGACAUAAUUUUUAAAUAUAACUUCGGUGGUAAAUUAACAAGGCAUUAGUGACCUCUGGGGUAUGACUCAAAAGCAAAGACUGUGCACAACCAGAAGAUGCCUGUUGUCAUAUAAAAGUCUGAUUUAUUUAUUUUUCUUAACGUCAUACUCCUUAGUACCUUAGAGGGGUUGUGUCACUGUCUUGGCCACACGUAAGAGGUGGACAAAAGAGCUGACAAGGGUCUUCUCUUCCUCUUGACCCUCUCACAGCCACAGUUACUUGAAACUCUCACUGCUGAACUGAUGGGGCAGAAGCACGCUGCUUUGAUAUUCAUGGGGUUGCUAUUUUCUCAGCUUGAUGUACAUAGUUUGAAGUGAAUGUUUCCUGAUGAUUGAUCUCCAUACGCCUGCUGUUGACUGAAUUUUUUUGCAGCUUCUGUAAAAUCCGAGCUGUUGCAGGCGAUGUUGGUCACUCUUUGCUCUGGGGUACUCCUCAGCUGCACUGUCCUGACGUUGAAGGGGAAAUCCUGUCUGAAAAUAGAAGAAAACUCUAUUUUCCUGCCUGGGGUGAGAUAGCGUGUUGCGACUCCAAGUCUCAGACCGCACUUGCUCUCGUGGAGCAUCAUCAUGGGAUCAUUUAUAGUGCCAAAGUCCUACUACUGCAUUAAAAAAAAAAAAAGAAAGAGGAAAGGGUUCUUGUACAUAAGUUUCUCCUCCGCUUUUCUCCCACCCACUUUCCUGCCCAACCUCUUCCUCUACUGGAACAGAUUUAUACAAUGUGGAAAUUUUGUUAACUUUUUAAUAGGUGCAAGUUACUCUUGCAUAUGAUGCCAUUGCAAAAUUUGGGGGUUGGUUUGGGGGAGGAAAGUGUCUUGUGGGGGAGGGAGAGGAGAUUUUUUUAUUAUUAUUAUUAUUUUUCUGAAGCGUUUUGAGACAGAUUUGCAGUCUUUUGGAGUCUUGUUGGUGCGGAUCAAUGUCUGAGCCCAGAUCCCCACCCCGGUUUACAUUUCAGCCCACUUAAACGCAUUACGGGGUUGGGAAGGGUCAUUCUGGAGUGGUUGGGGUUUGUUGUUUUUUCUUCUUCUUGUUUUGACUUUUUUGUUUUGUUUUAUGGCCACUUCCUACUGGUUGAAGUAUUUAAUUCUCUGCUUUUCCAUGCUCCUACAAGGCAAGUCUUCUCUAGCUCCUGUAUUUCACUUUUCACAAGCCAGCCCCAGCUGUGGGUCUCUUAAGAUUUGGCAAGAAUGCCUUUUUUUUUGUUGGGUUUUUUUUUUUUAGCACUUUUUGUUUAAACAUGCCAUACAACCCCCAGGGGGGUUGGAGUGAGGAAAUUAAGAUGCUUCAUAGUCUGAACUCGUUUGUGUUUCUUCAGCUGGUACAAUGAUGGACACCAUAACCACCAGUCUGCCCUCCAGCUUUAGAUGUUGUAGCGCACAACAGAAAUUUCUGAUUAACCUCUGCCACUAAAUUUUUUUAGAUCAAUCCUAGGUUCCCGAGUGCACUUUUUUUUUUUUCCCCCAAAUACUGCUAAUUGGAUUUGUGUGGGGGUGUCUGUCUGUGCAUGUGUGAGGAGGAGGAGGAGGGAGAGCAGGAGCGUGCGUGUGUAGACGAGCGGGUGCAAGAGCUGUCCGGUGCAUUCCUCUGACGAGCUGGGUUUGGAAAACUUACCCACCUUUCAAGUACACUGCACAAAGAGGAUGCUAGGGAGUUUGAAUAAAUCCAACUUUUCUAACUUGUUGCUCAUUUGUUGUAACUCAAUAAAACAAAGACUAAACAUUUUGGUAA